GGUUUCAGCUGGUCCCUGGUCUUUGCGCCCUGCUUUCUGUACUUGCUCCUGCCUUUCUGGUUUUUGUUCCUGCUUUUUUUUUUUUUGUUCCUGCUUUUGAUGCGAGUUGUCUGACGCCUGUAUUGCCACCCAUCAACUUUUCAGCAUUAGCUCUGUCUUGAGAAUCCAGCUGUGAUAUUCAUCUGCAAAUACGACUGCUUUGCUUAUAGAUAGAUACUGGCCACGAUAAAGUCAAUAUUCACUGUGACCCUUUUCUAUUAUGUUUUUACUUGACUCAUCACAAGAAAUCAGAAAUAUACUUCAAGGCAUAAUAAGCAAGCAUGUAUUAUGCAGGUCCAGCAGACAUGCUGAAAGAAUAAGGAUAAAAGCCACAUGCUGGGGAUGGUGUACCAGAGAGGCAGAAGGAGCCUGAGUCCGUGCUGGCCAUGUGGACUCUUUGUAUGAGCCUCUGCUGCCCACCCAGGCUUCCGGUUUCAUGAGAAACAAUGCUUUACUUGCCCAGGCCACUACAUUGGUGCGAGGCACCGCAACUGCGCACUCACUAUGGAGUCCUGCCAAAUUUACCUCCUUUAAUUUCUUAUAUUCAAUAGCGCCUAUGAUUUCUUAUAUUCAACAGCAAGGGAGGGGGAAGAGUCAUGUUCUGGUGAGACCAGAGAAUCGGCCCUGCUGUGUUUUUGAAAAUGUGUGCUUUGAUGAUGGAAUGAUUUUUUUUUGAGUCCCAUCUCUUCAGUGUAUAAACUGUGUGACCAUAUUGGCAAGUUGCUUACUCUCUCUGAGCCUUAGUUCCCCACCUGCAGGCAGUAAGG
Molecule: long non-coding RNA, 806 nt
Organism: Bos taurus (domestic cattle)
Lineage: Eukaryota; Metazoa; Chordata; Mammalia; Artiodactyla; Bovidae
Source: Ensembl